GGGGAUUUGUGAAUGGGGGGGUGUGAAUGGGGGGGUGUGAAUGGGGGCAGGGAUUUGUGAAUGGAGGGGGAGUGAGAAUGGGGGGGGAAUGGGAAGGAGGUGAAUGGGGGGGGAAUGUGAAUGGGGGGGAGAGAGGGAGGGAAUGUGAAUGGGGGGGAGGGAAUUGUGAAUGGGAGGGAGGGGGAGGGGGGAAUUGUGGGUGGGGGGGAGGAAGGGGGGGGUGGAAUUGUGAAUGGGGGUGGUGGGAGAGGGAGGAAUCGUGAAUGGAAUGUGAGCGGGGAAGGAAAAAGUGAAUGGAGGGAGACGGGAACAGAAAGCAGUUCUGAAUGGAAUGGAAUGGAAUGGAAUGGGGUGGGGUGGGGGUGGGGAGGGGUGGGGGUCCUGGCAGCUCACAGAGAUGUGGGAUGAAUGAAUUGGGAUGGAAAGGUCCUUACAGAUCACAGAGCUAUGGGGUGGUUGGGUUGGGAUGGAAAGGUCCUGACAGAUCACAGAGCUACGGGGUGAUUGGUUUGGGUUGGGAAGGUCCUGACAGAUCACAGAGCUAUGGGGUGGCUGGGUUGGGUUGGGAAGGUCCUAACAGAUCACAAAGGCAUUGGACAGUUGGGUUGGGAUGGAAAGGUCCUUACAGAUCACAGAGCCAUUGGAUGGUUGGGUUGGGUUGGAAAGGUCCUAACAGGUCACAGAGAUGUGGGAUGGAUGGGUUGGGAUGGAAAGGUCCUGACAGAUCACAGAG
This 733-nucleotide long non-coding RNA is filed under the name Gallus gallus (chicken). RNAcentral describes it as "lncRNA (ENSGALG00010018563.1)". Lineage: Eukaryota; Metazoa; Chordata; Aves; Galliformes; Phasianidae. The record is from RNAcentral.